GACGAACGCUGGCGGCGUGCCUAACACAUGCAAGUCGAGCGGAAGAUGAUGUGAGGAAGUUUUCGGAUGGAAUCACAUUAUUUUAGCGGCGGACGGGUGAGUAACGCGUGAGCGACCAACCUUGCACAGGGGGAUAACGGACCGAAAGGUUCACUAAUACCGCAUGAGACCACGGUGUUGCAUGACACAGGGGUCAAAGGAGCAAUCCGGUGCAAGACGGGCUCGCGUCCGAUUAGGUAGUUGGAGGGGUAACGGCCCACCAAGCCUAUGAUCGGUAGCCGACCUGAGAGGGUGAUCGGCCACAUUGGAACUGAGAUACGGUCCAAACUCCUACGGGAGGCAGCAGUGGGGAAUAUUGGGCAAUGGGGGAAACCCUGACCCAGCAACGCCGCGUGAAGGAAGAAGGUUUUCGGAUUGUAAACUUCUGUCCUUGGUGAAGAGAAGAAGACGGUAGCCAAGGAGGAGGCCCCGGCUAACUACGUG
This 483-nucleotide ribosomal RNA is filed under the name uncultured bacterium. RNAcentral's name for it is "bacterial SSU rRNA". It matches the Rfam family "Bacterial small subunit ribosomal RNA", at positions 28 to 507 of the family's 1533-position model. The record is from RNAcentral.